GCUCUUUAAUUGCGACAUUAAUUAAUUAAUUAAUUUUUAAACCAAUACUUCUCAUUAAUCUUUUAUCUCCCCACUAUUCUUUUUCCACACACCCCCUUCUUCUAUUCUGAAUUUGCAAGUCACUAUAUUUAUUAUUAUUAUUUGGUUAACAUAUUUAAGACCCAUCAACUUUUUUUUGAUACUCUCUCUAAUUUACAAAAUUUUUAUUCGAGUUAUUAUUGCAGUAACAUAAUUUUUUUUUUUU
Molecule: long non-coding RNA, 244 nt
Filed under: Ananas comosus (pineapple)
Lineage: Eukaryota; Viridiplantae; Streptophyta; Magnoliopsida; Poales; Bromeliaceae
Description: long non-coding RNA (ACOM_LNC027177)
Source: RNAcentral